Molecule: ribosomal RNA, 971 nt
Filed under: Eutiarosporella dactylidis
Lineage: Eukaryota; Fungi; Ascomycota; Dothideomycetes; Botryosphaeriales; Botryosphaeriaceae
Description: SSU rRNA
Rfam family: Eukaryotic small subunit ribosomal RNA
Source: RNAcentral
CUAUACUGUGAAACUGCGAAUGGCUCAUUAAAUCAGUUAUCGUUUAUUUGAUAGUACCUUACUACUUGGAUAACCGUGGUAAUUCUAGAGCUAAUACAUGCUAAAAAACCCGACUUCGGGAGGGUUGUAUUUAUUAGAUAAAAAACCAAUGCCCUUCGGGGCUCCUUGGUGAUUCAUGAUAACUUAACGAAUCGCAUGGCCUUGCGCCGGCGAUGGUUCAUUCAAAUUUCUGCCUAUCAACUUUCGAUGGUAAGAUAGAGGCUUACCAUGGUAUCAACGGGUAACGGGGAAUUAGGGUUCUAUUCCGGAGAGGGAGCCUGAGAAACGGCUACCACAUCCAAGGAAGGCAGCAGGCGCGCAAAUUACCCAAUCCCGACACGGGGAGGUAGUGACAAUAAAUACUGAUACAGGGCUCUUUUGGGUCUUGUAAUUGGAAUGAGUACAAUUUAAAUACCUUAACGAGGAACAAUUGGAGGGCAAGUCUGGUGCCAGCAGCCGCGGUAAUUCCAGCUCCAAUAGCGUAUAUUAAAGUUGUUGCAGUUAAAAAGCUCGUAGUUGAACCUUGGGCCUGGCUGGUCGGUCUGCCUCACCGCAUGUACUGAUUCGGCCGGGCCUUUCCUCCUGGGGAGCCGCAUGCCCUUCACUGGGUGUGUCGGGGAACCAGGACUUUUACUUUGAAAAUUAGAGUGUUCAAAGCAGGCCUUUGCUCGAAUACAUUAGCAUGGAAUAAUAGAAUAGGACGUGUGGUUCUAUUUUGUUGGUUUCUAGAACCGCCGUAAUGAUUAAUAGGAACAGUCGGGGGCGUCAGUAUUCAGUAGUCAGAGGUGAAAUUCUUGGAUUUACUGAAGACUAACUACUGCGAAAGCAUUCGCCAAGGAUGUUUUCAUUAAUCAGUGAACGAAAGUUAGGGGAUCGAAGACGAUCAGAUACCGUCGUAGUCUUAACCGUAAACUAUGCCGACUAGGGAUUGG